GCCCUAAACCUCAGUAGUUAGAUAACAAAACUACUCGCCAGAAUACUACAAGCAACAGCUUAAAACUCAAAGGACUUGACGGUGCUUUACAUCCCCCUAGAGGAGCCUGUUCCGUAAUCGAUAAACCCCGAUCCACCCUACCCUCUCUUGCUCAGCCUAUAUACCGCCAUCUUCAGCAAACCCUAAUGAGGGCCACAAAGUGAGCGCAAACGCCGUCGCCGCGAAUACGUUAGGUCAAGGUGUAGCCCAUGAGACGGUAAAAAAUGGGCUACAUUUUCUAUUUCAGAAAACCCACGAAAACCCUUAUGAAACUUAAGGGUCCAAGGAGGAUUUAGCAGUAAAUUAAGAAUAGAGUGCUUAAUUGAACCAGGCCAUAAAGCGCGCACACACCGCCCGUCACUCCUCUCAAAUAUAUUUAAGGAAUAUCCUAACUAAACGCCCUAAUAUUUAUAUAGAGAGGAUAAGUCGUAACAUGGUAAGCGUACUGGAAGGUGCGCUUGGAUAAAU
RNAcentral lists this ribosomal RNA (507 nucleotides) under Macaca fascicularis (crab-eating macaque). RNAcentral's name for it is "partial 12S ribosomal RNA". It matches the Rfam family "Bacterial small subunit ribosomal RNA", at positions 799 to 1533 of the family's 1533-position model. Lineage: Eukaryota; Metazoa; Chordata; Mammalia; Primates; Cercopithecidae. The record is from RNAcentral.